RNAcentral lists this ribosomal RNA (254 nucleotides) under uncultured bacterium. Its description in RNAcentral is "partial 16S ribosomal RNA". It matches the Rfam family "Bacterial small subunit ribosomal RNA", at positions 524 to 776 of the family's 1533-position model. The record is from RNAcentral.
UACGUAGGGACCAAGCGUUGUUCGGAUUUACUGGGCGUAAAGGGCGCGUAGGCGGUCGUGACAAGUCACUUGUGAAAUCUCCGGGCUUAACUCGGAACGGUCAAGUGAUACUGUCGGACUAGAGUACAGAAGGGGCAACUGGAAUUCUCGGUGUAGCGGUGAAAUGCGUAGAUAUCGAGAGGAACACCUGCGGCGAAGGCGGCCUUCUGGACAGUGACUGACGCUGAGACGCGAAAGCGUGGGGAGCAAACAGG